This 72-nucleotide transfer RNA is filed under the name Ictidomys tridecemlineatus (thirteen-lined ground squirrel). Its description in RNAcentral is "Spermophilus tridecemlineatus (thirteen-lined ground squirrel) tRNA". It matches the Rfam family "tRNA". From Rfam's summary of the family: Transfer RNA (tRNA) molecules are approximately 80 nucleotides in length. Their secondary structure includes four short double-helical elements and three loops (D, anti-codon, and T loops). Lineage: Eukaryota; Metazoa; Chordata; Mammalia; Rodentia; Sciuridae. The record is from Rfam by way of RNAcentral.
UGGGGAGUAGCUCUGUGGUAGAGCACUUGCCUAGCAUGAAUAAGAUCCUGGGUUCAAUCCUCAGCACUGCAA